UACGGGAGGAGCAAGCGUUGUUCGGAUUUACUGGGCGUAAAGCGCGCGUAGGCGGGUUGGUAAGUCCGCUGUGAAAGCCCGGAGCUUAACUCCGGAGGUCGGUGGAUACUGCCAGUCUUGAAGGUGCUAGGGGGAGAUGGAAUUACCGGUGUAGCGGUGAAAUGCGUAGAUAUCGGUAGGAACACCGGUGGCGAAGGCGGGUCUCUGGGCCGUAACUGACGCUGAGGAGCGAAAGCAUGGGGAGCGAACAGG
RNAcentral lists this ribosomal RNA (252 nucleotides) under uncultured bacterium. Its description in RNAcentral is "partial 16S ribosomal RNA". It matches the Rfam family "Bacterial small subunit ribosomal RNA", at positions 524 to 776 of the family's 1533-position model. The record is from RNAcentral.